GCGGUCGUGGCCGAGUGGUUAAGGCGUCUGACUUGAAAUCAGAUUCCCGCUGGGAGCGUAGGUUCGAGUCCUGCCGACCGCG
This 82-nucleotide transfer RNA is filed under the name Pollicipes pollicipes. RNAcentral describes it as "tRNA-Ser". It matches the Rfam family "tRNA". Rfam says of the family: Transfer RNA (tRNA) molecules are approximately 80 nucleotides in length. Their secondary structure includes four short double-helical elements and three loops (D, anti-codon, and T loops). Lineage: Eukaryota; Metazoa; Arthropoda; Thecostraca; Pollicipedomorpha; Pollicipedidae. The record is from RNAcentral.